CGUUUUUAGUUGUUGCAGUUAAAAGCUCGUAGUCGGAUUUUGGCUGAGAACGGUCGGUCCGCCGAGUAGGUGUGCACUGACUGGUCUCAGCUUCCUGGUGAGGAGGUGUGCUUCAUCGCCACUUAGUCACCGUGGUUACUUUGAAAAAAUUAGAGUGUUCAAAGCGGGCUUACGCUUGAAUAUAUUAGCAUGGAAUAACACCAUAGGACUCCUGUCCUAUUUCGUUGGUCUCGGGACGGGAGUAAUGAUUAAGAGGAACAGUUGGGGGCAUUCGUAUUUCAUUGUCAGAGGUGAAAUUCUUGGAUUUAUGAAAGACGAACUUCUGCGAAAGCAUUUGCCAAGGAUGUUUUCAUUGAUCAAGAACGAAAGUUGGGGGCUCGAAGAUGAUUAGAUACCAUCCUAGUCUCAACCAUAAACGAUGCCGACUAGGGAUUGGCGGAUGUUAAUUGAUGACUUCGCCAGCACCUUAUGAGAAAUCAAAGUUUUUGGGUUCCGGGGGGAGUAUGGUCGCAAGGCUGAAACUUAAAGGAAUUGACGGAAGGGCACCACCAGGCGUGGGAGCCUGCGGCUUAAUUUGACUCACUCGGGGAAACUUACCAGGUCCAGACAUAGUAAGGAUUGACAGAUUGAGAGCUCUUUCUUGAUUCUAUGGG
Molecule: ribosomal RNA, 653 nt
Filed under: Ostreococcus sp. RCC427
Lineage: Eukaryota; Viridiplantae; Chlorophyta; Mamiellophyceae; Mamiellales; Bathycoccaceae
Description: SSU rRNA
Rfam family: Eukaryotic small subunit ribosomal RNA
Source: RNAcentral